AAACCAACCGGGAUUGCCUUAGUAACGGCGAGUGAAGCGGCAAAAGCUCAAAUUUGAAAUCUGGUACCUUCGGUGCCCGAGUUGUAAUUUGGAGAGGGCAACUUUGGGGCCGUUCCUUGUCUAUGUUCCUUGGAACAGGACGUCAUAGAGGGUGAGAACCCCGUGUGGCGAGGAGUGCGGUUCUUUGUAAAGUGCCUUCGAAGAGUCGAGUUGUUUGGGAAUGCAGCUCUAAGUGGGUGGUAAAUUCCAUCUAAAGCUAAAUAUUGGCGAGAGACCGAUAGCGAACAAGUACAGUGAUGGAAAGAUGAAAAGAACUUUGAAAAGAGAGUGAAAAAGUACGUGAAAUUGUUGAAAGGGAAGGGCAUUUGAUCAGACAUGGUGUUUUGUGCCCUCUGCUCCUUGUGGGUAGGGGAAUCUCGCAUUUCACUGGGCCAGCAUCAGUUUUGGUGGCAGGAUAAAUCCAUAGGAAUGUAACUUGCCUCGGUAAGUAUUAUAGCCUGUGGGAAUACUGCCAGCUGGGACUGAGGACUGCGACGUAAGUCAAGGAUGCUGGCAUAAUGGUUAUAUGCCGC
This 572-nucleotide ribosomal RNA is filed under the name Saccharomyces cerevisiae (brewer's yeast). Its description in RNAcentral is "partial large subunit ribosomal RNA". It matches the Rfam family "Eukaryotic large subunit ribosomal RNA", at positions 62 to 648 of the family's 3401-position model. The record is from RNAcentral. Lineage: Eukaryota; Fungi; Ascomycota; Saccharomycetes; Saccharomycetales; Saccharomycetaceae.